Molecule: transfer RNA, 67 nt
Filed under: Polionemobius taprobanensis
Lineage: Eukaryota; Metazoa; Arthropoda; Insecta; Orthoptera; Trigonidiidae
Description: tRNA-Asp
Source: RNAcentral
AAGAAAUUAGUUAAAUCCAUAACAUUAAUAUGUCAUGUUAAAAUUAUUAUAUAAAUAAUAUUUCUUU